GAUCCUGGCUCAGGAUGAACGCUGGCGGCGUGCUUAAUACAUGCAAGUCGAACGAAGCACUUUGGCGGAUCCCUUCGGGGUGAAGCCGGUUGUGACUUAGUGGCGGACGGGUGAGUAACGCGUGGGUAACCUGCCUUAUACAGGGGGAUAACAGUUAGAAAUGACUGCUAAUACCCCAUAAGCGCACGAUAUCGCAUGAUGAUGUGUGAAAAGAUUUAUCGGUAUAAGAUGGACCCCGCGUCUGAUUAGUUAGUUGGCGGGUAACGGCCCACCAAGACGACGAUCAGUAGCCGACUUGAGAGAGUGAUCGGCCACAUUGGGACUGAGACACGGCCCAGACUCCUACGGGAGGCAGCAGUAGGGAAUAUUGCACAAUGGGGGAAACCCUGAUGCGGCGACGCCCGCGUGAGUGAUUGAAGUAUUUCGGUAUGUAAAGCUCUAUCAGCAGGGAAGAUAAUGACGGUACCUGCAUAAGAAGCCCCGGCUAACUACGUGCCAGCAGCAGC
This 506-nucleotide ribosomal RNA is filed under the name uncultured bacterium. RNAcentral describes it as "bacterial SSU rRNA". It matches the Rfam family "Bacterial small subunit ribosomal RNA", at positions 15 to 518 of the family's 1533-position model. The record is from RNAcentral.